This 265-nucleotide ribosomal RNA is filed under the name uncultured archaeon. RNAcentral's name for it is "partial 16S ribosomal RNA". It matches the Rfam family "Archaeal small subunit ribosomal RNA", at positions 717 to 982 of the family's 1478-position model. The record is from RNAcentral.
ACACGACUACAUUAGAUACCCCUGUAGUCCAGGGUGUAAACGCUGCGAGCUUGGUGUUGGGGGUCCGUUUGAGGGCGCCCAGUGCCGGAGAGAAGUUGUUAAGCCUGCUGCUUGGGAGUACGUCCGCAAGGAUGAAACUUAAUGGAAUUGGCGGGGGAGCACCGCAACGGGAGGAGCGUGCGGUUCAAUUGGAUUCAACGCCGGACAACACACCAGGAGCGACGGUUACAUGAAGGCCAGGCUGAUGACCUUGCCUGAUUUUCCG